Cavia porcellus (domestic guinea pig) is the source of this 1306-nucleotide long non-coding RNA. RefSeq lists it as uncharacterized. The record is from RefSeq and is a predicted model, not a curated record. The transcript has 2 exons. Lineage: Eukaryota; Metazoa; Chordata; Mammalia; Rodentia; Caviidae.
UUGUUUCUGACUCAGCUCUCUUUCCCACCAGUAUCCAAUUUCUCACUACGCUCUCCUGCUGUACCUGUCUCCACCCUGCUCUGCAUUCCCACAUGUCCCGUCCCACCCUGUCCCUGCCACGUCCACAUCAUGGCUGGAUGACUGCCCAGCUGCAGAGCUGGCCUCUCUGACUGUCCUUGGAUAUGGAGCUAGGGAAGAGACCAGGAAGGUGACAAGGGGCUGGGAAUCACAGGAGGCCUACAAGAGCUGGCUUGUGAGGAUGAUCUGUGCUGGGAAGGCCCAAAAGUCAGCGGUGGAAGCUAGUAAGCCUAUGCCAGCAGGGUGAAGGAGCUGUGCUAGUAGGCUGAGGAUUCUAUGCUGGAGCCAAGAAGUCACACUCGUAAUAACCAGGGCUGUCCUGACAAGUACCACAGCCAUCCUCAGCGACACGGAGGUCCUGUGCUCCUCCAAUGAUAAGAAAAGUCGAAGACAUGCCAAAAAGCCAGCAUGAGGAGUUCCUCCUAGCGAUGAAGCAGCAUACAUCUUCCCCUCCGGAGCCAGGAAGCAAUGCUUGAUGUAAGACCAGAGAUUCUCCAGGAGAACCAACGGCUCAAACAGCAACACUUAGAGAAACCCACAAUGCCUCUCUUUUCCUUCUCCACGUCUCUAUUUAUGCUGGUAACUUUCCUCAGGUGGAACAUCUACACUCAGCACCAUGCUGAUUUAAUUCAGAUGGUGUUGUUAACCAUCAGUUUUUAACCUAACAACCACUGUCUUUUGUGGGAACAUGCCUCAGGCUGAUGCUAGAUCUACAUCAUCCUAUUAAAACCUGCUUGACUUCACCCCUGGAGAAUUGAAGAUAGCAUUCUCUGAUUGGUCCCAAGUGCAGGGCUUGGGCACAUAUGUCCCACCCACUUGCCCAGUCGCUGGCCACAUCUCCUGCCUCAGCAUGAUCAUAGUCUGGAGUUGUUGUAAUGUCUGCUUAGGAAAGGAAAAGGCUGUUUAACAUCUGGCUCCCAAGUGAGAGACACUGGAGCCUGGGCUUUAGGUGUUUUUAUAGUGAUUAAGCUAUAUGAAAAAGAAAGAUGGAAUAAACAAUUAUGUUGAUGUAGCUCUAGCAUCUUUCCACGAAAAUAAAUGGAGCAAACAUUGAUACUAUCCAGUAAGUAGCCUCUCUAUACAGGGUCAAGAUUGCGAAGAUAUAUUAACAGUAUUGCAUUCAAAGCUUGACUAUGGGGAAUGUGAAAAUAAUGUAGUAUUACCAGAUAAAAUGCAAGCAUGCAUAAAGAUAAACCUUAUAAAUAAGAGGUGUCUAAAGAGAAGAAAA